GACGAACGCUGGCGGCGUGCUUAACACAUGCAAGUCGAACGGAAGGGCCCUGCGUUUGUGGGGUGCUCGAGUGGCGAACGGGGGAGUAACACGUGAGUAACCUGACCUUGACUUUGGGAUAACUUCAGGAAACUGGGGCUAAUACAGGAUAGGAGCUGCUGCUGCAGGGUGGGGGGUGGAAAGUUUCGGCGGUUGGGGAUGGACUCGCGGCUUAUCAGCUUGUUGGUGGGGGAGUGGCUUACCAAGGCUUUGACGGGUAGCCGGCCUGAGAGGGUGACCGGCCACAUUGGGACUGCGAUACGGCCCAGACUCCUACGGGAGGCAGCAGUGGGGAAUAUUGCACAAUGGGCGGAAGCCUGAUGCAGCAACGCCGCGUGCGGGAUGACGGCCUUCGGGUUGUAAACCGCUUUCGCCUGUGACGAAGCGUGAGUGACGGUAAUGGGUAAAGAAGCACCGGCUAACUACGUG
This 468-nucleotide ribosomal RNA is filed under the name uncultured bacterium. RNAcentral's name for it is "partial 16S ribosomal RNA". It matches the Rfam family "Bacterial small subunit ribosomal RNA", at positions 28 to 507 of the family's 1533-position model. The record is from RNAcentral.